Molecule: ribosomal RNA, 253 nt
Filed under: uncultured bacterium
Lineage: Bacteria
Description: partial 16S ribosomal RNA
Rfam family: Bacterial small subunit ribosomal RNA
Source: RNAcentral
UACGUAGGUCCCGAGCGUUGUCCGGAAUUACUGGGCGUACAGCGCACGCAGGCGGUCUGUCAAGUCGGAUGUGAAAUCCCCGGGCUCAGCCUGGGAACUGCAUUCGAAACUGGCAGGCUGGAGUCUUGUAGAGGGGGGUAGAAUUCCAGGUGUAGCGGUGAAAUGCGUAGAGAUCUGGAGGAAUACCGGUGGCGAAGGCGGCCCCCUGGACGAAGACUGACGCUCAGGUGCGAAAGCGUGGGGAGCAAACAGG